RNAcentral lists this long non-coding RNA (1465 nucleotides) under Rosa chinensis. RNAcentral describes it as "sRNA RchiOBHm_Chr1g0370611". Lineage: Eukaryota; Viridiplantae; Streptophyta; Magnoliopsida; Rosales; Rosaceae. The record is from RNAcentral.
UUUCAGUCGCCGCCGACCCACCGCAAAGUUCGACGGUUCGGCCUUAUCUCUAAGCUAGCUCUAACCUCUCAGUCAGCCAUCUCACUCCCUCAGCCUUUCAGUCUCAGUCUUCCUAUUCAUAAUCUCGAACCGCUGAACCGCCGACCCACGGCUUUGCUUCGACCCACUACCAAGAGCCGCCUUCAUCUCACAACUCUCAAUCUCCCUCAGUCCCUCAUCUCAAAUUUCAUGAACCCAUUUGAGUCUUGGGGAAAGCGGAGGCCGGAACUCAGGAAGACGAGCAGUCGGAGUAGACAGGAGGAAGGAGGUGAGAAACUAAGAACGUGCGGACUGUGAAUCUGGUGAGGUAUGCAAGGCAGUGAUCUGCUUAAAAUUGCAAUGAGGAGCAAACUGGAUGUUGGAGAACAUGCAAUUCAAUUUGCGUGUGUUCAAAUCAUUCCCUUUGUGCAAAGGGUUAUCCCUAUUCACAGCUUCAGGCAUUUCCUCCAUUUGUGACACAAGGGAAGAUCUCUAGUGGUGCUCGCCCUCCUCAUGAUGCAGAUGGUACACACAGUUCUUAACUUUGUUUGUUAAAUAUGUAGUUGCUUUCGUAUGUGACUUCCCUACAUUGUUUCAGAUUUUUAUAGUCCUGUGAAUGCAAUUCAGUACCUAAUGGUUUGAAUGUUAAUUUUGUAGUGUACGAAGGAUGAUAGGUAUGGUUGAAUUUCAUUGUCUGUGUUUAGGAGUAUGAACCUGAGUAUGGAUGAUUAUUUGGGUGGAAUUCAAUAAGACCAUACAAUAGCCUAAAGAUGUGAUUUUAGUAAUUUAAAGUUGCUAAUAAGUGGACCAAUGAACUUAAACAUAUUGGAUGUUUGGAAUAUAAAAAAAAAACUUAGAAGAGCUGAUGUCAAUUAAUUGUAAUAAUGACUCAGCCCUCUCCAUGUUUCCGUUCCCAUUUUAUAUGGGUAUUGCCAUUCCUAAGAGUUGUUAAACUAUACAAGAAAAGUUAGUAAUGCUAUUUGUCAGGGGUUUUUGAAACUUCAACCUGAUUUCUUUCCAUACGAUGGAGCUAUCAAUGAAAAAACUUCUAACAGUCCAGAUUUGAAAUGAAAGAAUAAGGCUUUUGAGUAGCACAUGAUUACAUACUUAAAGCCUUGAAGGUCUGGUGCCAUCUCUUUUCUUUUUUUAAUUUAGGAAUUUGUGUAUCUUCUUAAAUCUGCAACUAAUUUAGAAUAUAUGAGAGUUGAUGCUUAUUUUUCUUGAUAUAUAUUCACUGUCCUGAACUUGCUUAUUUUUCUUAUUAUUUGUAUGCACUGCGUUAUAGGUUAGGAAAGAAGAGCUUGGAACCAAUGGUAGCUUUGCUAUAUUUUUGAACAUUUGUUUUGCUUAUAGGUUAGGAAAGAGGAGCUUGGAACCAAUGGUAGCUUUGCUACAACUGGUUUCUCUAUGUUGAAAGGUACUUAUAUAAAAAUGAAGGAAUAAUUUC